This 481-nucleotide ribosomal RNA is filed under the name uncultured bacterium. RNAcentral describes it as "bacterial SSU rRNA". It matches the Rfam family "Bacterial small subunit ribosomal RNA", at positions 328 to 793 of the family's 1533-position model. The record is from RNAcentral.
UGACAGUACUCCUACGGGGAGGCAGCAGUCGGGGGAAUAUUGCACAAUGGGCGCAAGCCUGAUGCAGCCAUGCCGCGUGUGUGAAGAAGGCCUUCGGGUUGUAAAGCACUUUCAGUCGUGAGGAAGGUAGUGUAGUUAAUAGCUGCAUUAUUUGACGUUUAGCGACAGAAGAAGCACCGGCUAACUCCGUGCCAGCAGCCGCGGUAAUACGGAGGGUGCGAGCGUUAAUCGGAAUUACUGGGCGUAAAGCGCAUGCAGGUGGUUUGUUAAGUCAGAUGUGAAAGCCCGGGGCUCAACCUCGGAAUAGCAUUUGUAAACUAGGCAGACUAGAGUACUGUAGAGGGGGGUAGGAAUUUCAGGUGUAGCGGUGAAAUAGCGUAGAGAUCUGAAGGAAUACCGGUGGCGAAGGCGGCCCCCUGGACAGAUACUGACACUCAGAUGCGAAAGCGUGGGGAGCAAACAGGAUUAGAUACCCUGGUAG